UUGAAAAAUAGCUGCAGUCUCGGUUUCUAGCCGUGCAUGUCUACUCAGAAGUCAGCCCCAUUGAACUCAGUAGGGCUUGCUCUCAGAUUAGAAAAUGACUAGAAAGAUCAGACAAGAUUUUGAACUAUGGCUCACUGAAGAUUAUCAGCCCGGUCUCAAAGCAAAACAACAACAGUUCAAUACAAACUUAUUAAAACAGAAUGAUGUUA
Molecule: long non-coding RNA, 209 nt
Organism: Podarcis raffonei (Aeolian wall lizard)
Lineage: Eukaryota; Metazoa; Chordata; Lepidosauria; Squamata; Lacertidae
Exons: 2
Source: RefSeq, a predicted model, not a curated record